Molecule: unclassified non-coding RNA, 207 nt
Filed under: Hevea brasiliensis (rubber tree)
Lineage: Eukaryota; Viridiplantae; Streptophyta; Magnoliopsida; Malpighiales; Euphorbiaceae
Source: RNAcentral
GAGGUAGUAGUACCAAAGCUUUCAGCAGAAAAAAAGGUUGUACUCAUCUGCUGUGCGAGAGACUUGAAAAGUAACAUAUGAAAUGGUAUAGUAGUUGUGGAAAUUUCAGAUUCUUUUUCUUUUCUUCUUUGUUGCUUAAUUAAGUUAUCCCGAGUAUAAAUCAACAAAUGUUGGAUAAGUGGUAAGACUUAUUGUAUUUUCAAAGAA